This 1241-nucleotide long non-coding RNA is filed under the name Marmota monax (woodchuck). The record is from RNAcentral. Lineage: Eukaryota; Metazoa; Chordata; Mammalia; Rodentia; Sciuridae.
CCCCAUCCAAAAUGUUUCCGACAAAAAUCUGGCACUCCUGGUUCUAAUCAAAAUACUGAACUUUGGAACAAAUUAACAUUCCGCAGCCUCGCAGGGAAGGGGGAACUCAGCCGAGACAACUUCGGCUCACAACCAUAACAAAAAUAGCUCCUCCUGGGGAAGACACAUUCUGCUAACAAGGUCACUUUUGUUUGGCUUCUCCUGCCAUCUGGCUGAGUGGCACCAGGGGCUGGCUCUGGGACCAGCUAAAUUCUGCAGCGUGGAUGGGAGCCGGGUGGCACCGCAGAAGGCUUCUCAGCCUCCUGGCAAGAAAAGUCGGUGCAAAGUUACCUUCAGACAUCUCCAGAAAGUGCACAGGCAGAUGGAGCCCUGGUUUCACCCGGCCCUGCUCUGCUCGGCUCUGCACUCGAAGCUUGAGGGAGGUGUCACUCCAGAGACAGCAACAAGCAGGUGGGGACUGGAGAAGGAGGCGGCAGGGUGGGAGAGCUAUCUUUACCUCACAGAACAUUCCAGAACCCAGUGCUGGCUCCCGGGGGCUGGGAGUCUGAGUUACAGGAGGAAGGGGACAAGCGGGGCUUUAGUUUUCUCCUCCUUCUUCUCCUCCUCUCCUUCCUCCCACUCCUCCUCCUGGGACCACGGGGACAUUCAACAACCUGCCUCUCCCCCAGGUCCUCAUCUGUAGAAUGGAAACCACUUGCUCAGACCCUGAGCAGCUAUGCGGAAAGGGGACAAGGAGGGCGAAUGUCAUUGCCUAGAGCACCUGGCUGAGGUCCUCUGGAGAGAACGCUCUGGAAUUCUGAGCUCUGUGUUCGUUCCAAGAGGGCUUGCAAGCUUCUGCAGCACUCGACAUGACCCAGAUGGUCUGGCUGGAACUCUCUGUGUGUGAGGUGCAGGGCUGAGUCUUGAACAUUGGUACUUUUCCUUUUCCCCCGAAAGAUGAUGCUUCUUUGAUGCCAGUAAUUUUGUCUUUUAAAGUAGCUUGAAAAACAAUGAAUGUAGACACAAAAUAUUGCUUACAACUAUAAGGAGUUUGUGACAUACUGAAGCCAUCUAUCUCCUAGGAGGAAUCCAAGGGGUCCCAGAAUAUCUCCUGGGGACCAAAGGAGGGGAACAAAAAUCUUCAAUCCCAUAGAGGAAGAGACUUCAAAUGACCUACUCUCAAGGAAAAUAGGUUGAUUACAUAUCUUUUUCAGGAUUUAAUAUUUAAAAAAAAAGACAGAUGAAGGGACUUUGACUUCCAG